AGAGUUUGAUCAUGGCUCAGGAUGAACGCUAGCGGCAGGCUUAAUACAUGCAAGUCGAGGGGCAGCGCAGUGUAGCAAUACAUGGGCGGCGACCGGCAAACGGGUGCGGAACACGUACACAACCUUCCUUUAAGCGGGGAAUAGCCCGGGGAAACCCGGAUUAAUACCCCAUAGUACGUCGGAGAGGCAUCUCUCUGAUUUUAAAGAUUUAUCACUUAAAGAUGGGUGUGCGGCUGAUUAGGUAGUUGGCGGGGUAAUGGCCCACCAAGCCUACGAUCAGUAACUGGUGUGAGAGCACGACCAGUCACACGGGCACUGAGACACGGGCCCGACUCCUACGGGAGGCAGCAGUAAGGAAUAUUGGUCAAUGGACGAAGGUCUGAACCAGCCAUGCCGCGUGGAGGAUGAAGGUCCUCUGGAUUGUAAACUUCUUUUAUAUGGGACGAAAAAGGGACUUUCUAGUUCAACUGACGGUACCAUAUGAAUAAGCACCGGCUAACUCCGUGCCAGCAGCCGCGGUAAUACGGAGGGUGCAAGCGUUAUCCGGAUUCACUGGGUUUAAAGGGUGCGUAGGUGGGUUGGUAAGUCAGUGGUGAAAUCUCCGAGCUUAACUUGGAAACUGCCAUUGAUACUAUCAGUCUUGAAUACCGUGGAGGUCAGCGGAAUAUGUCAUGUAGCGGUGAAAUGCUUAGAUAUGACAUAGAACACCAAUUGCGAAGGCAGCUGGCUACACGAAUAUUGACACUGAGGCACGAAAGCGUGGGGAUCAAACAGGAUUAGAUACCCUGGUAGUCCACGCCCUAAACUAUGGAUACUCGACAUACGCGAUACACAGUGUGUGUCUGAGCGAAAGCAUUAAGUAUCCCACCUGGGAAGUACGAUCGCAAGAUUGAAACUCAAAGGAAUUGACGG
RNAcentral lists this ribosomal RNA (912 nucleotides) under uncultured bacterium. Its description in RNAcentral is "bacterial SSU rRNA". It matches the Rfam family "Bacterial small subunit ribosomal RNA", at positions 8 to 916 of the family's 1533-position model. The record is from RNAcentral.